GGGGGGGCGGCUGCUUACCAUGCAGUCGAACGGCAGCACGGGUGCUUGCACCUGGUGGCGAGUGGCGAACGGGUGAGUAAUACAUCGGAACAUGUCCUGUAGUGGGGGAUAGCCCGGCGAAAGCCGGAUUAAUACCGCAUACGAUCUCUGGAUGAAAGCGGGGGACCUUCGGGCCUCGCGCUAUAGGGUUGGCCGAUGGCUGAUUAGCUAGUUGGUGGGGUAAAGGCCUACCAAGGCGACGAUCAGUAGCUGGUCUGAGAGGACGACCAGCCACACUGGGACUGAGACACGGCCCAGACUCCUACGGGAGGCAGCAGUGGGGAAUUUUGGACAAUGGGCGAAAGCCUGAUCCAGCAAUGCCGCGUGUGUGAAGAAGGCCUUCGGGUUGUAAAGCACUUUUGUCCGGAAAGAAAUCCUUGGCUCUAAUACAGUCGGGGGAUGACGGUACCGGAAGAAUAAGCACCGGCUAACUACGUGCCACGC
Molecule: ribosomal RNA, 483 nt
Filed under: Burkholderia sp. YC105A
Lineage: Bacteria; Pseudomonadati; Pseudomonadota; Betaproteobacteria; Burkholderiales; Burkholderiaceae
Description: bacterial SSU rRNA
Rfam family: Bacterial small subunit ribosomal RNA
Source: RNAcentral